UCGGGAAUUUUGGGCAAUGGGCGAAAGCCUGACCCAGCAACGCCGCGUGAAGGAUGAAGUAUUUCGGUAUGUAAACUUCGAAAGAAUGGGAAGAAUAAAUGACGGUACCAUUUAUAAGGUCCGGCUAACUACGUGCCAGCAGCCGCGGUAAUACGUAGGGACCAAGCGUUGUUCGGAUUUACUGGGCGUAAAGGGCGCGUAGGCGGCUUAACAAGUCACUUGUGAAAUCUCCGGGCUUAACUCGGAACGGCCAAGUGAAACUGUUAAGCUAGAGUGCAGAAGGGGCAAUCGGAAUUCUUGGUGUAGCGGUGAAAUGCGUAGAUAUCAAGAGGAACACCUGAGGUGAAGACGGGUUGCUGGGCUGACACUGACGCUGAGGCGCGAAAGCCAGGGGAGCAAACGGGAUUAGAUACCCCUGUAGUCCCUGAGCGGGCUGGCAAGGCGCAU
Molecule: ribosomal RNA, 447 nt
Filed under: uncultured bacterium
Lineage: Bacteria
Description: bacterial SSU rRNA
Rfam family: Bacterial small subunit ribosomal RNA
Source: RNAcentral